RNAcentral lists this ribosomal RNA (476 nucleotides) under Sesamia jansei. Its description in RNAcentral is "partial 16S large subunit ribosomal RNA". Lineage: Eukaryota; Metazoa; Arthropoda; Insecta; Lepidoptera; Noctuidae. The record is from RNAcentral.
UGUCUUUUUGAAAAUAAUAUAAAGUCUAAUCUGCCCACUGAUUUUAAUUGAAGGGCUGCAGUAUAUUGACUGUACAAAGGUAGCAUAAUCAUUAGUCAUUUAAUUGGUGACUUGUAUGAAGGAUUGGAUGAGAUAUAAUCUGUCUCUUAAUUAUAAAAUAGAAUUUAAUUUUUUAAUUAAAAAGUUAAAAUAUGUUAAAAAGACGAGAAGACCCUAUAGAGUUUUAUAAUUUAAGAUAAUUAAGAUUAUUUAUAAAAUAAAAAUUGAAAUUAUUUUAUUUAUUUUGUUGGGGUGACAGAAAAAUAUAAAAAACUUUUUAUAUAGAAAAACAUUGAUAAAUGAUUAGAUGAUCCAAUAUUAUUGAUUAUAAGAAAAAAUUACCUUAGGGAUAACAGCGUAAUUUUUUUUUUUAGUUCACAUAAAAAAAAGAGUUUGCGACCUCGAUGUUGGAUUAAGAUAAAAUUUAAAUGCAGAAG